GGAUCAAUUCGCUGGUCGUGCCUCUGGUACGUACUGGUAUUAUUGGUUUCUCCCUUCUGACGAACCAUGAUGUCAUUUAUUUGGUGUUGUGGGGAAUCAGGACUGUUACUUUGAAAAAAUUAGAGUGUUUAAAGCAGGCUCACGCUUGAAUACAUUAGCAUGGAAUAAUGAAAUAGGACGUGCGGUUCUAUUUUGUUGGUUUCUAGAGUCGCCGUA
This 216-nucleotide ribosomal RNA is filed under the name Campeiostachys nutans. RNAcentral describes it as "Elymus nutans partial small subunit ribosomal RNA". The stretch from base 38 to 216 matches the Rfam family "Eukaryotic small subunit ribosomal RNA", at positions 684 to 864 of the family's 1831-position model. Lineage: Eukaryota; Viridiplantae; Streptophyta; Magnoliopsida; Poales; Poaceae. The record is from RNAcentral.